GCGUGUUAUAACGUUGUCCCGUCGCAUUACAUUCUUCGAUGACUCGACUCGUAAGAAGAAGAAGGAUCGAUGAUGCACACAUAGGUUAACUUCUUCUCAGUGAAUUCUUCUUUCAAACCUAACCAAUGCUUCCUCCUUCGAGAAAGGACGACGAGGAAGACGACGACACGAGUAACAAACUCCUGGGGGGUCCGAGAACGGGUGUCGGAUGGCGGCAGAGAUAAUGUUUCACGAUGAAAGACACGAGAAGAUACGAUCGAGUAGAGAAGAAAAUCUAGAAAAAGACAGAAAGAGAAAGAGAGAUGAUGAACUAACCGCUAACAAACACGAAGGACAAUGAUUACCACCGGCUCGGCGGGUGCUCUCACACCGACACGCGACUUCUGAUCCUUCACGCACGAUCCAACACCGUGUCUACACAACAGCUACUGCACCUGCAAUCAAGGAGCAUACGCAAACGUGCUUGGCUCGCGAUCGAACACGUACAGUGUGCUCGAUUAACAACAUUCUACAAAAUUCCAACUAUUUUUCAACAACAAUUAAUACAAAACAAAUCAAUAUUUAUCAGAAAAAUUACAAUACUCUUUUAUAUUUUUUAUAUCAUUUUUCUAACACCACGUAUUAACAUCAUUAAAGAUUAAA
Polistes dominula (European paper wasp) is the source of this 642-nucleotide long non-coding RNA. The record is from RefSeq and is a predicted model, not a curated record. NCBI's taxonomy places the organism in Eukaryota, Metazoa, Arthropoda, Insecta, Hymenoptera, Vespidae.